Molecule: long non-coding RNA, 624 nt
Organism: Wyeomyia smithii (pitcher-plant mosquito)
Lineage: Eukaryota; Metazoa; Arthropoda; Insecta; Diptera; Culicidae
Exons: 4
Source: RefSeq, a predicted model, not a curated record
GGCAGCACGGGGCACGAUAACUGUCAACUGAGUUUGUAAUUUGAAAAAGUACUUAAAUAAACAAUGAACAAUCGUCUAUCAGUAAAAUCCUGUCCGGCAAUAGCUGCAAAUGUGAAAAAAGAGUUUUCAGAAAUCGGAUGAAUUCGAUUGUUUCAGGGCAACACGUAUGAGAUGCGCCGUGAUGGAAACGUAAGGAGUUCCGAGAGAAAUGAGUAAAUAAGCAAUGAACAAUCGUCUAUCAAUGAAAUCCUGUCCGGUGAUAGCUGCAAACAUAAGGAAAGGCUUUUCAGAAAUCGUCGAGUAGAUUCGAAUUGGGGACUACACGGUGAGAUGCGCCGUGAUGAAAACGUAAGGAGUUCGGAGUUAAAAAAGUGACCCAGCAAAAAAAUGUUAAGUGUGAACAAUUACCUAUCAAUGAAAUCCUGACCCGUGAUAGCUGCAAACGUAAGGAAAAAGGCAUGUUCGUUUUAAGUAAUCAUUUCACGAAAAUAAAAUAACUAGUUUUCAGAAAUCGUCGAAUGAAUUGGAUUAUUUGGGACAACAUUGAUGAAAUACACCGGGAUGUGAAUGUAAAUGUCCAAAAACCAUUUCUUUAUUAAAAAAUAAAGUAAAUGUAAAAAUAAA